Molecule: non-coding RNA, 57 nt
Organism: Bos taurus (domestic cattle)
Lineage: Eukaryota; Metazoa; Chordata; Mammalia; Artiodactyla; Bovidae
Source: Rfam
UGGCUCAGAUGGUAAAGUGUCUGCCUGCAAUGCAGGAGACCCGGGUUCGAUCCCUGG